CCGGAGAAGGGAAAGAAUAGCCUUCUAUUCUUACCUCCAUUUACCAGCACUUUCCACAUUGAGUUAAUUUGUAUAAUCCCCUGUCUCCUCCCCAGGUCUAUGAGUUGUUUGUGGAGACAGACUUUAUUCAUCUCUGUCACAGUUCAAUAAAUAUUUGCUGAAUUUCUGAAUAAAUAAAUAUAUUCAUUUAAAAAAGGGCAAUGCUUUAACCUAGGAGAGAAAAAGGAUCCCUGGUUUAUGAAUCAAAAGGCUGAGGCUGCAGGCAGGUUUUGGAAGAAACCAGGAGUAGGAGCUGGAUCUCUGCUCAGCACAUGCACUGUGUUCUUCCUCACCUCCUCGCCUCUGAGCAGGAACCCAUUUAGCCACAUGGCUGCCCAUCCCUCUGGAGGAAGAUUUCUCCUAGGGGCAGGGGAAGGUGUAUCGUGAUGGUGGGAAACUCCUUUAUUCAGCAACACCAAGAUGAAGCUGGCAUGAGAAAUCAGACUCAGAACUCAAGCUGGCAAAACAUCUGAUGGGGUGAGAAAUAAGGCUUUUGUGUCUUGUCCUCCAGGUUAUAGGUAUUUUUAUUGGAAGGUGCCUUCUUUCCCGGGCAAGAUUACAAGUAAAGUCCAGAUGAGGGAUAGAAAGGCUCCACUGUCAUCACAGCAAGUCAAGAAACCUGCCCCAACAAGAGACACAACUUAAAGGUUGGGCUCAAAUUUAUAGAUGUUCUUUUUCUGGCUUCAAAGACAGUACAGCACAGAACAGAACUUGUAAAUUAGGAGGAUAAGAAAAUAAGACAGAACAGUCUCCGUCAUUUUCAUAAGUAACUCAGUAACCUAUGGAUCUUAUCCUAGAUUUAUUUUUUCUUUUAAAGGAUAAAGGACAAGUGGUCAGGGGCAGGCCCAUAAAUUUGCUCUGACUUUUAUUAGAUGGGGAAUAUUUUCGUCGGCGAGGUCAGCAUAACUUGGAAGAAAAGACAGAAAACUCUCCACAAGUGAACCACCUCGUUACCCCUGACAUAACACAGGCCUGCUGCCUACUGACAAGGGAGUCGCCUGCUAUCAUGCACAGUUAGAACUCCUUAAAAGUCAUCAAAAUAGGUUAAUUUUUCCCAUUCAACAUUAUCUUUUCAUGGAUUUCACAUCUCAUACACAGAUUCUAGGGGGAAAGGAACAUGACUGGGACUAUUAAGUAAUGGAGCUGAAUCCUUUCAAGAUGAAAGAAAACUGGGCUCGCCAUCUCCACCAUCUCGUAGACAGGAAACACAGCAUAGACACAAGCUAAGGAAAAGGUCAAAGACAUAGGAGGAAGGCCAAUAAACCUCCGUGAGCGCUUUGUUUUGUGAAACCACCUGGUCUAACACUCAAGUUCUGUACAAAUGUCUUAUUCAUUUGUUCAUUUUUUAAAAGUAUUAAUUAUGUGUCUAUUAUAGUGGAAUGCACUAGGAAUACUCUAAUGAACAAGGCUUUGUCCCUGUUCUCCAGGAGUUUACAGUCCAGCAGGAGUGAGACUGUCUAAGAAAGAGGUCCCCAUACAGUAUAAGUACAGGAGCCAAACAGUGUAGCAGCUACUACAUGGCAGCCUUCAGCUG
RNAcentral lists this long non-coding RNA (1573 nucleotides) under Homo sapiens (human). RNAcentral describes it as "non-protein coding lnc-ITGB3BP-8:1". Lineage: Eukaryota; Metazoa; Chordata; Mammalia; Primates; Hominidae. The record is from RNAcentral.